GAUGAACGCUAGCGGCAGGCUUAAUACAUGCAAGUCGUGGGGCAGCAUGAGUAGCAAUACUUGAUGGCGACCGGCAAACGGGUGAGGAACACGUACACAACCUUCCUUCAAGCGGGGAAUAGCCCAGAGAAAUUUGGAUUAAUACCCCAUAAUAUAUUUGAUAAGGCAUCUUAUUAAAUAUUAAAGCUUCGGCACUUGAUGAUGGGUGUGCGGCUGGUUAGAUAGUUGGCGGGUAACGGCCCACCAAGUCUACGAUCAGUAGCUGAUGUGAGAGCAUGAUCAGCCACACGGGCACUGAGACACGGGCCCGACUCCUACGGGAGGCAGCAGUAAGGAAUAUUGGACAAUGGACGAAAAGUCUGAUCCAGCCAUGCCGCGUGAAGGAUUAAGGUACCUCUGGAUUGUAAAC
Molecule: ribosomal RNA, 409 nt
Filed under: uncultured bacterium
Lineage: Bacteria
Description: bacterial SSU rRNA
Rfam family: Bacterial small subunit ribosomal RNA
Source: RNAcentral